GUGUCAGCCGCCGCGGUAAGACGAAGGUGGCGAGCGUUAUUCGGAAUCACUGGGCUUAAAGGGCGCGUAGGCGGUUGUGUAAGUCCAGGGUUGAAGGCCCCGGCUCAACCGGGGAAAGGCCUUGGAGACUGCAUGACUUGAGUGAGCGAGGGGAGGGCGGAAUUCCUGGUGUAGCGGUGUAAUGCGUAGAUAUCAGGAGGAAGGCCUGUGGCGAAGGCGGCCCUCUGGCGCUCAACUGACGCUGAGGCGCGAAAGCGUGGGUAGCAAACAGGAUUAGAUACCCUGGUAGUCCACGCCCUAAACGGUGGGCACUAGGUGUGGGGCUCGAGAGGGUUCCGUGCCGAAGGGAAACCAAUAAGUGCCCCGCCUAGGGAGUACGGCCGCAAGGUUGAAACUUAAAGGAAUUGGCGGGG
RNAcentral lists this ribosomal RNA (413 nucleotides) under uncultured prokaryote. RNAcentral's name for it is "bacterial SSU rRNA". It matches the Rfam family "Bacterial small subunit ribosomal RNA", at positions 505 to 918 of the family's 1533-position model. The record is from RNAcentral.